RNAcentral lists this ribosomal RNA (331 nucleotides) under uncultured bacterium. Its description in RNAcentral is "bacterial SSU rRNA". It matches the Rfam family "Bacterial small subunit ribosomal RNA", at positions 917 to 1247 of the family's 1533-position model. The record is from RNAcentral.
GGACCCGCACAAGCGGUGGAACAUGUGGUUUAAUUCGAAGCAACGCGCAGAACCUUACCAACCCUUGACAUCCUGUGCUACAUUCAGAGAUGAAUGGUUCCCUUCGGGGACGCAGUGACAGGUGCUGCAUGGCUGUCGUCAGCUCGUGUCGUGAGAUGUUCGGUUAAGUCCGGCAACGAGCGCAACCCACAUCCCUAGUUGCCAGCAGUUCGGCUGGGCACUCUAUGGAAACUGCCCGUGAUAAGCGGGAGGAAGGUGUGGAUGACGUCAAGUCCUCAUGGCCCCUUACGGGUUGGGCUACACACGUGCUACAAUGGCAUCUACAGUGGGU